CCUACUGAUUGAACAUGCUUGCGCACACUUGACGAUGGUUUACCAACGUGGUGUGGGACGGGUGUGAAUCACGUAUGUAUCCUGCGCCCAAACGGAGGAUAUCAUUUGUGAACAGAUGCGAUUACCGCAUAUCACUUAGAAUCGCAUGAGUCUUACUUAAAAGAUGGGUUCCUGUAUCACUUUGGGAUGGACCUGCGGGGCAUUAACUUGUUGGGAGGGGAACGGGCUACCAAGGGUGUGAUGCGUAACCGAAUUGAAAAACUGAUCGGGCACAAUGGAACUGAAAAACGGUCCAUAAUCCUACGGGAGGGAGCAGUAAGGAAUCUUCCACAAUGGGAGCAAGCCUGAUGGAGCAACACCGCGUGAGUGAAGAAGGGUUUCGGGUCGUAAAGGUCUGUUGUUAGAGAAGAACGUGGGUGAGAGUAACUGUUCACGCAGUGACGGUAUCUAACCAGAAAGUCACGGUUAACUACGUGCCAGCAGCCGCGGUAAUACGUAGGUGGAAAGUGUUAUCCGGAUUUAUUGGGUGUAAAGUGAGAGUAGGGGGUUUGAUAAGUUUGAUGUGAAAGUCUUUGGAUUAAACAAAGAAGUGUAUUGGAAAAUGUGAGAAUUGAGUGGAGAAGAGGAAAGUGGAAAUUUAUGGUUAGG
RNAcentral lists this ribosomal RNA (648 nucleotides) under Lactobacillus sp. RNAcentral describes it as "bacterial SSU rRNA". It matches the Rfam family "Bacterial small subunit ribosomal RNA", at positions 47 to 679 of the family's 1533-position model. Lineage: Bacteria; Bacillati; Bacillota; Bacilli; Lactobacillales; Lactobacillaceae. The record is from RNAcentral.